GUGCCAGCCGCCGCGGUAAUACCGGCAGCUCAAGUGAUGGCCGAUCUUAUUGGGCCUAAAGCGUCCGUAGCUGGCCUCGCAAGUCCGUCGGGAAAUCCAGUAGCUCAACUACUGGGCGUCCGGCGGAAACUACAAGGCUUGGGACCGGAAGGCUCGAGGGGUACGUCCGGGGUAGGAGUGAAAUCCUAUAAUCCCGCACGGACCACCGAUGGCGAAAGCACUUCGAGAAAACGGAUCCGACAGUGAGGGACGAAAGCCAGGGUCUCCAACCGGAUUAGAAACCCUAGUAGUC
This 292-nucleotide ribosomal RNA is filed under the name uncultured bacterium. RNAcentral's name for it is "partial 16S ribosomal RNA". It matches the Rfam family "Archaeal small subunit ribosomal RNA", at positions 455 to 746 of the family's 1478-position model. The record is from RNAcentral.